RNAcentral lists this long non-coding RNA (1129 nucleotides) under Apteryx rowi (Okarito brown kiwi). Its description in RNAcentral is "lncRNA (ENSARWG00000000507.1)". The record is from RNAcentral. Lineage: Eukaryota; Metazoa; Chordata; Aves; Apterygiformes; Apterygidae.
AUGAUGCAACUUUGCCAGCCAGCGCUUCUCGAUGGAGGCAUAGUAAAAUCCAUCGCCCUACAAAAGCAUAGAGCAAAGCAAAGCAAAGCAAAAAAAAAAAAAGAAAAGAAAAAAAAAAAAAAAAAAAACAACAGCCGACAAAUACAGCCCUACUGCCCUUGUAAACAGCUUGCUUUACCAGAGGCCAAAAGCAUUCCUCACGAGCCAACCACUCCAGCCCAGCCUCAGCCAAACUCAGCAGUGGUGAAGGUGUGCCAGGAGGCAGCUGAGACCCCUCCAUCUUCUGAGGGUCCCUGGCGACCAGCUCAGGCUGCAAAGUUAUGCUUCUCAGGGUUACUGGAGGUCUUCUUCAGGCCCACAGAACCAACCUCCCAUAGUCCAAACAUCAGUGAAAACCCCAGAAGAAAGGCARGCCCACGAUCACAUACCUCUUUGCUCCAAAGCCUCUGUUUACAUAGGGAUGUCUGUUCUUCUUGGUAAGUGUGGUCUCUUCAGCCAGCCAGAGCCCGUGGCCUAUUUAGCAAGAGCAAUUCACAGUAACAACAGAAGUAGUAUUAACACUUGCGUUCCACCAGUUUUCUAUGGAUUCUUUAGUAGCAUUUCCAGAAUAUUGCAGCAGAGCACAAUGCGACAGGCCACACGGUAUAUGACAGGAGAGCCCGAGUUCUUUAGUUUGCCAGAGUUUUUAUCCCCUUACAUCUACAGCGAAAAUGAAGAAUCAGUUUUCCUCCUAGAAAUGUUCUGAGGCAGGCAGUGUAAUUAAAGCACACCACAGCCACCCAGCAAGCACUGCCCACGUCCCAGGYGAAGAGCAGCUCGCGGAAAGCUCUGCAGACAAGGCGCUGGCCGCCUCGGCGCUCCCCAGGCCAGGCGGCACCCACCACUUCCGAGGCGCGCAGAUAAAGCCGCUCAGCCCCCGCCGAAGGGGCCGCGCCAGCCCCGGCAACGAGGACUGCCGCGACACGAGCGCUCCGGCAGCCUUUGGGCGCCCGGCGCUCAGGGGUGGAGCGGCGGCGGAACGACCCGGGCCCGGGCCUGCCGCGGCGCCGGCGGAGCAGGUGCGGCGCCGGUGUGGAGCCACCAGCCGAGCCCGAGCCCGAGCCCGAGCCCGAGCCCGAGCCCGAGCCCG